UGUGGCUCCGCAGCCACGCACCACUACCAAGACUGGCAGGAAUACUAAGUUCAGCUAUGCUGAAAACAUGGCGUUGGUGCGUGAGCUCAUGAAGCACCAUCGGCAAUUGUUUGGGCAGGAUGCUGCCAAGGUGUCCUCCCGCAGGAAGUCUGUUCUGUGGGGGAAAGUAAUAGUGGCAGUAAAUAGUGAGGGUGUGGUGAGGCGGACUGAGGACACGUGUCGCAAGAGGUUCUACGACAUAAAGCGCCGUGUCAAGGCCAAGAUGGCCAAAGAGGCUAAAUCAGCCCGCAAAACUGGGGGUGGCCCCCCUUUCCGGGCAACCUAUCGUGACUGGGAGGAGCCUGUGCGGGCACUGAUUCCUGCAGAAGUGGUGUCUGCAACUCAUGUCCGGGAUUCGGACCGACCCACGCAGGAUGGUGAGUUUGAAAUUUAUAAAUUAUAUUGUAAAGAUUGAAAAAUGAUAAUGCUGCAAAAAGAAUUUUUUUUAAAAGUAUGCAUACAUUGUGUUGGUCAUGUAUUGCAGGCCUGUGCACCCUUAAGCUGUUUUUGUGUUUUGAAAAUGCAUUUCCCAUCAUGCCUUGGCUGUAUAUUUUUAAAUUUUUAAUGCAAAAUCAGGUGCAGUGCAUGCUGGUAUGUGUAGUUCCAAAAAUUAAUAUGAGAUAUUGCUUGGCCAUAGCUGUUGUAUCUAAUAGCAGCUUGUUAUGAUUUGUGUGUGUGUUUUUAAUUUGUUUUUUUUAUAAUCAUUUUUUUCCAGUUUGGUUCAAGUUGCAAGUAAUCAAUCUCUGCAAUAUCUGACACAUAAUUCAUCAAUGUUACUGAUUUAUUUUGUGCAACACCAUGUUCAUUUUUAGAUACAUCACAAAUUAAGGAAUCACGAAGAUCUUAAGCAGAAAUUAGUUUACUUUACAAUACGUACAAGAUGGUUACAGUACACUAAGGCUUUGCAGUUAGCAUUUUUUUACAAAGUAUGGUCAUAAUGUUUUUUCAACUUUUUCAACAGUCCGACAGACCAGCCGGCCAGACAGGCCACAGACAACUCAUGAUGAUGCUGGGAUUGCAGGUUCAGCUUCUGUAAGCCGCCCUCCUCUAAGGCGCCCAUCACAGGGCUCGGGUCACUUACCCAGGAGGCCAAGUAAGACACGGCGUCUUGUCUCCGAAUCUGCGGCUCCAUCUUCCCCACCCAGGCGGCGCAUUUCUGCAGUCUCACCCCAGCCACCACAGGCACUAUUGGCUAGUCCACAGAGUGAUGAGCCACGAUCACCUCAGUUAUCUGAGCCAAGCUUGAUGGCCGACGUGGACCAGCAGGGACAAGACCAACAGGCAACAUACAACCUAACACCUGUUGGCCCGAGCCAGCCAUUACAGCCGCAGGAUAUCCCCCAAGCCUCCAUGAGUCCACAACUGGUCCAAGCUCCACCCCAGCCACAAAUUCCAGAUGACUUUUGGUCCAGUUGGACAAGCCAACAGACCCAAAGCAAUGCCAGCCUGACCGCCCAUACCCAACACCUUGCCAGUCUGCCCCAUCAUCUACCGCGCAUUAGUCGCAACUCGGGCAGACUGAUUGUCCAAGUAGGCCGAAUCGCAACAUCUAUGGAGCAAAUACGGGCAGACAACAACCAAAUGCUGGCUCAUUUGACGCGCAUCAUUGAUGAGCAACAGCACCAGCACCAAACACUCAUACAACUGAUACAACACAACCAGGUUGUGAAUGAAUCAUUAUCCCGGAUUGUAGCCAGCCACACUGCAACCAACACACAACUGAAUGCCAGCAUCAAUAAUUUAAGCAACAACAUAUCAUUGAUGGCAGCACAACAAGUGAGCUCCAGCUCUGGAACCACGACCCCUAGCCAAACGCCAGUAACCUCCCCUGUUCGGCGAUCCUCCCGAGCAUGUGCCAGUGAGCCAGCACAAAGCACAGCACCCAGCACACACAAGCGCAAAAAAUAAAACAAACCAAACAUUUGUGUAACUCAAUAAAAAAAAU
Molecule: long non-coding RNA, 1984 nt
Organism: Pseudophryne corroboree (corroboree frog)
Lineage: Eukaryota; Metazoa; Chordata; Amphibia; Anura; Myobatrachidae
Exons: 3
Source: RefSeq, a predicted model, not a curated record